This 345-nucleotide long non-coding RNA is filed under the name Helianthus annuus (common sunflower). RNAcentral's name for it is "hypothetical non coding rna". The record is from RNAcentral. Lineage: Eukaryota; Viridiplantae; Streptophyta; Magnoliopsida; Asterales; Asteraceae.
GUAGGGCUACGGAUCUCUACAGAUAACCAACUUGAAUUUUUAUCUUGUAUAUCUUGACAAAUGGCUUCGCAGCAACAAGAAGAUCUAAGGUCGAAGGAAGAAGUUAAGGUUAAGGAUUCGGAUCGAGUCACAAGAGCACCAUGAUACCAGUGAUAAGAGUAAAGCAAAAAGUGAAGAUGAGGAGUUGAAGCAACCAACCAGGCGUUCAUAUCUCGGAGUCGGAGUACUGUGAUUUUAAUUAAUGUGUGCAUGUAAUUUGGUUUUCCUAAAAAGAAUAAGCUUUUAGUAAUAAGUUAUCGUAUUCUUCUAUUCAAGUUUUAAUGAAUAAAUUUUCAUAAUCAAAGU